GACGUAGGGGGCAAGCGUUGUCCGGAAUCACUGGGCGUAAAGCGCGUGUAGGCGGUUUGGUCAGUCCCGUGUGAAAGCCUCCGGCUCAACUGGAGGAUGCCGCGGGAUACUACCGGACUCGAGGACAGGAGAGGGAAGUGGAAUUCCCGGUGUAGCGGUGAAAUGCGUAGAUAUCGGGAGGAACGCCAGUGGCGAAGGCGGCUUCCUGGCCUGUUCCUAACGCUGAGACGCGAAAGCUGGGGGAGCGAACGGG
Molecule: ribosomal RNA, 253 nt
Filed under: uncultured bacterium
Lineage: Bacteria
Description: partial 16S ribosomal RNA
Rfam family: Bacterial small subunit ribosomal RNA
Source: RNAcentral